RNAcentral lists this ribosomal RNA (253 nucleotides) under uncultured bacterium. Its description in RNAcentral is "partial 16S ribosomal RNA". It matches the Rfam family "Bacterial small subunit ribosomal RNA", at positions 524 to 776 of the family's 1533-position model. The record is from RNAcentral.
UACGAAGGGGGCUAGCGUUGCUCGGAAUCACUGGGCGUAAAGCGCACGUAGGCGGAUCGUUAAGUCAGGGGUGAAAUCCUGGAGCUCAACUCCAGAACUGCCUUUGAUACUGGCGAUCUUGAGUUCGGGAGAGGUGAGUGGAACUGCGAGUGUAGAGGUGAAAUUCGUAGAUAUUCGCAAGAACACCAGUGGUGAAGGCGGCUCACUGGCCCGAUACUGACGCUGAGGUGCGAAAGCGUGGGGAGCAAACAGG